GACGAACGCUGGCGGCGUGCUUAACACAUGCAAGUCGAACGGAAAGGCCCUGCUUUUGCGGGGUGCUCGAGUGGCGAACGGGUGAGUAACACGUGAGUAACCUGCCCUUGACUUUGGGAUAACUUCAGGAAACUGGGGCUAAUACCGGAUAGGAGCUCCUGCUGCAUGGUGGGGGUUGGAAAGUUUCGGCGGUUGGGGAUGGACUCGCGGCUUAUCAGCUUGUUGGUGGGGUAGUGGCUUACCAAGGCUUUGACGGGUAGCCGGCCUGAGAGGGUGACCGGCCACAUUGGGACUGAGAUACGGCCCAGACUCCUACGGGAGGCAGCAGUGGGGAAUAUUGCACAAUGGGCGGGAGCCUGAUGCAGCAACGCCGCGUGCGGGAUGACGGCCUUCGGGUUGUAAACCGCUUUCGCCUGUGACGAAGCGUGAGUGACGGUAAUGGGUAAAGAAGCACCGGCUAACUACGUG
This 468-nucleotide ribosomal RNA is filed under the name uncultured bacterium. Its description in RNAcentral is "partial 16S ribosomal RNA". It matches the Rfam family "Bacterial small subunit ribosomal RNA", at positions 28 to 507 of the family's 1533-position model. The record is from RNAcentral.